This 514-nucleotide ribosomal RNA is filed under the name uncultured bacterium. RNAcentral describes it as "partial 16S ribosomal RNA". It matches the Rfam family "Bacterial small subunit ribosomal RNA", at positions 28 to 523 of the family's 1533-position model. The record is from RNAcentral.
GACGAACGCUGGCGGCGUGCCUAAUACAUGCAAGUCGAGCGGACUUUCAAGAAGCUUGCUUUUGAAAGUUAGCGGCGGACGGGUGAGUAACACGUGGGCAACCUGCCUGUAAGACGGGGAUAACUCCGGGAAACCGGGGCUAAUACCGGAUAAUAUCUUUCUUCGCAUGAAGGAAGGUUGAAAGGCGGCCCAAGCUGCCUCUUGCAGAUGGGCCCGGGGCGCAUUAGCUAGUUGGUGAGGUAACGGCUCACCAAGGCGACGAUGCGUAGCCGACCUGAGAGGGUGAUCGGCCACACUGGGACUGAGACACGGCCCAGACUCCUACGGGAGGCAGCAGUAGGGAGUCUUCCGCAAUGGACGAAAGUCUGACGGAGCAACGCCGCGUGAGCGAAGAAGGUCUUCGGAUCGUAAAGCUCUGUUGUCAGGGAAGAACAAGUACCGUUCGAAUAGGGCGGUACCUUGACGGUACCUGACCAGAAAGCCACGGCUAGCUACGUGCCAGCCGCCGCAGUAA